UACGUAGGCAGCAAGCGUUGUUCGGAUUUACUGGGCGUAAAGGGUGUGUAGGCGGUUGCUUAAGUUUGGUGUGAAAUCUCCCGGCUUAACUGGGAGGGUGCGCCGAAUACUGAGUGACUCGAGUGCGGGAGAGGAGAGUGGAAUUCCUGGUGUAGCGGUGAAAUGCGUAGAUAUCAGGAGGAACACCGGUGGUGUAGACGGCUCUCUGGACCGUAACUGACGCUGAGACACGAAAGCGUGGGUAGCAAACAGG
This 253-nucleotide ribosomal RNA is filed under the name uncultured bacterium. RNAcentral's name for it is "partial 16S ribosomal RNA". It matches the Rfam family "Bacterial small subunit ribosomal RNA", at positions 524 to 776 of the family's 1533-position model. The record is from RNAcentral.